GGAUAACCUGCCCUAUUGUCUGGAAUAACCUCGGGAAACUGAGAACAAGGCCGGAUAGCCCACAAUGCCUGGAACGGUUUGUGGGUGAAGAUAGGAUGGGUCUGCGGCGUAUCAGGUUGUAGGGGGUGUAAUGGACCUCCUAGCCAUCGACGCGUACGGGUGUUGGGAGACAUAGCCCGGAGAUGGAUUCUGAGACACGAAUCCAGACCCUACGGGGUGCAGCAGGCGCGAAAACUUCACACUGCAGGAAACUGUGAUGAGGGAACUCCAAGUGCUAUCACUAUGUGGUAGCUUUUCUUGACUAUUAAUCGGUCAUGGAAUAAGGGCUGGGAAAGACCGGUGCCAGCCGCCGCGGUAAUACCGGCAGCUCAAGUGGUCGUCGCUUUUAUUGGGCCUAAAACGUCCGUAGCCUGUUUGGUAAAUCUGUGGGUAAAUCAACCAGCUUAACUGGUUGAAUUCUGCAGAGACUGCCAGACUAGGGACCGGGAGAGGUGUGGGGUACUCUAGGGGUAGGGGUAAAAUCCUGUCAUCCUUAGAGGACCACCAGUUGCGAAGGCGCCACACUGGAACGGAUCCGACGGUCGGGGACGAAGCCUAGGGGCACGAACCGGAUUAGAUACCCGGGUAGUCCUAGGUGUAAACGCUGUGAACUUGGUGUCGGGGAUCCGUAAUGGGUCCUCGGUGCCGGAGUGAAGAUGUUAAGUUCACUGCCUGGGGAGUACGGUCGCAAGGCUGAAACUU
RNAcentral lists this ribosomal RNA (741 nucleotides) under uncultured Candidatus Poseidoniales archaeon. RNAcentral describes it as "bacterial SSU rRNA". It matches the Rfam family "Archaeal small subunit ribosomal RNA", at positions 102 to 857 of the family's 1478-position model. Lineage: Archaea; Methanobacteriati; Thermoplasmatota; Candidatus Poseidoniia; Candidatus Poseidoniales. The record is from RNAcentral.